Sturnus vulgaris (Common starling) is the source of this 620-nucleotide non-coding RNA. Lineage: Eukaryota; Metazoa; Chordata; Aves; Passeriformes; Sturnidae. The record is from RefSeq and is a predicted model, not a curated record.
GCGGGCGGAAGAGCCCCGCGGACCCGCCCGGCCCUAUCGAAGCUGCGUCUGUCGGUGCUGUGGUAGAUGCAGUCAAAAAGGAGCCAAGAGAAAGGUAUUUUCCUCGACGGUCGCCGCUCAGUUGGAUCCUUCAUAACUGUCCGGCAACAUUUCGGGAAAGAACACGGCCCACCAUGGGCUAACGGGGUUACUGGUGCUAGAAGCAGGCUGCUGUCGUAAAUCUCUUCCCCUGGGGUCCAGACUGAUGCACCGGGGGGAGGAGGGGUGAAUCCCUUCUUUCUGUACUGCUGUUUUAACUUCUCUUCUAAUUUACUUAAAGCUCAAGACUCUAUUUUUCCCCAGCAGCAUGCUGGCACAGAAGGUGAUUCUGGAGCAUGGGAUGGCAGGGGUCCUGGGUGUUCCAGAGCUCACCCAUCUGAUGGAUAAACCCAGUGAGAAGCAGUUACUCUGUGAAAGAAGGUGAGAACUUGUGAGCCUUGUCCCAAGGGUUUCAGCUUACUUCCCAUAGGACCUGAGUUGUGGGGAAGCUGCAGUAUGGAGUCUGUCUAAGCAGAGGGUGAGCCAUCCCUGAAGGACUUGGUGCUGCAGUGCCAGACUGUUCUUUCUCAGCCUUCUGCAGA